Molecule: unclassified non-coding RNA, 304 nt
Filed under: plant metagenome
Description: partial contains 5.8S ribosomal RNA, internal transcribed spacer 2, and large subunit ribosomal RNA
Rfam family: 5.8S ribosomal RNA (bases 1-104)
Source: RNAcentral
GAAAUGCGAUAGUAAUGUGAAUUGCAGAAUUCAGUGAAUCAUCGAAUCUUUGAACGCACAUUGCGCCCGCCAGUAUUCUGGCGGGCAUGCCUGUUCGAGCGUCAUUUCAACCAUCAAGCCCCCGGCUUGUGUUGGGGACCUGCGGCUGCCCGCAGGCCCUGAAAAACAGUGGCGGGCUCGCUGUCACACCGAGCGUAGUAGCAUACAUUCUCGCUCAGGGCGUGCUGCGGGUUCCGGCCGUUAAACGACCUUCAUAACCCAAGGUUGACCUCGGAUCAGGUAGGAAGACCCGCUGAACUUAAGC